GAUGAACGCUGGCGGCGUGCCUAAUACAUGCAAGUCGAACGAGUUCUCGUUGAUGAUCGGUGCUUGCACCGAGAUUCAACAUGGAACGAGUGGCGGACGGGUGAGUAACACGUGGGUAACCUGCCCUUAAGUGGGGGAUAACAUUUGGAAACAGAUGCUAAUACCGCAUAGAUCCAAGAACCGCAUGGUUCUUGGCUGAAAGAUGGCGUAAGCUAUCGCUUUUGGAUGGACCCGCGGCGUAUUAGCUAGUUGGUGAGGUAAUGGCUCACCAAGGCGAUGAUACGUAGCCGAACUGAGAGGUUGAUCGGCCACAUUGGGACUGAGACACGGCCCAAACUCCUACGGGAGGCAGCAGUAGGGAAUCUUCCACAAUGGACGCAAGUCUGAUGGAGCAACGCCGCGUGAGUGAAGAAGGCUUUCGGGUCGUAAAACUCUGUUGUUGGAGAAGAAUGGUCGGCAGAGUAACUGUUGUCGGCGUGACGGUAUCCAACCAGAAAGCCACGGCUAACUACGUGCCAGCAGCCGCGGUAAUACGUAGGUGGCAAGCGUUAUCCGGAUUUAUUGGGCGUAAAGCGAGCGCAGGCGGUUUUUUAAGUCUGAUGUGAAAGCCCUCGGCUUAACCGAGGAAGCGCAUCGGAAACUGGGAAACUUGAGUGCAGAAGAGGACAGUGGAACUCCAUGUGUAGCGGUGAAAUGCGUAGAUAUAUGGAAGAACACCAGUGGCGAAGGCGGCUGUCUGGUCUGUAACUGACGCUGAGGCUCGAAAGCAUGGGUAGCGAACAGGAUUAGAUACCCUGGUAGUCCAUGCCGUAAACGAUGAAUGCUAGGUGUUGGAGGGUUUCCGCCCUUCAGUGCCGCAGCUAACGCAUUAAGCGUUCCGCCUGGGGAGUACGACCGCAAGGUUGAAACUCAAAGGAAUUGACGGGGGCCCGCACAAGCGGUGGAGCAUGUGGUUUAAUUCGAAGCAACGCGAAGAACCUUACCAGGUCUUGACAUCUUUUGAUCACCUGAGAGAUCAGGCUUCCCCUUCGGGGGCAAAAUGACAGGUGGUGCAUGGUUGUCGUCAGCUCGUGUCGUGAGAUGUUGGGUUAAGUCCCGCAACGAGCGCAACCCUUAUGACUAGUUGCCAGCAUUUAGUUGGGCACUCUAGUAAGACUGCCGGUGACAAACCGGAGGAAGGUGGGGAUGACGUCAAAUCAUCAUGCCCCUUAUGACCUGGGCUACACACGUGCUACAAUGGAUGGUACAACGAGUCGCGAGACCGCGAGGUCAAGCUAAUCUCUUAAAGCCAUUCUCAGUUCGGACUGUAGGCUGCAACUCGCCUACACGAAGUCGGAAUCGCCAGUAAUCGCGGAUCAGCACGCCGCGGUGAAUACGUUCCCGGGCCUUGUACACACCGCCCGUCACACCAUGAGAGUUUGUAACACCCGAAGCCGGUGGCGUAACCCUUUUAGGGAGCGAGCCGUCUAAGGUGGGACAAAUGAUUAGGGUG
This 1492-nucleotide ribosomal RNA is filed under the name Lacticaseibacillus paracasei. RNAcentral describes it as "bacterial SSU rRNA". It matches the Rfam family "Bacterial small subunit ribosomal RNA". Lineage: Bacteria; Bacillati; Bacillota; Bacilli; Lactobacillales; Lactobacillaceae. The record is from RNAcentral.